UUUCGGUAUCCUGUGUUGCUUACCUGUGAAAAGGAAUUUGAUGGUUUCGGUGUCCCUAUACGCCUUUCGCCCUUCGGGGUGUGGGGUGGACGUGAGGCAGGCUCUGUGUUGCCCGYGUGUCGAGUGUGUCGAUUCUCGGCUGCUCUGGCCCAUGGGGUCUUGGCUCCUACUCUAUGAUGCAGAAUGUUGUGUGUGUUGGCGUGGGGUCUCGGCCUAUUCUCGUCCAAGUUACACACAUUGUCCCUUGACAUGAACGACCGCCUUUGCCCGUCUUUUGAUCGUCUGACCGAGCCUCAUCGCGGGGCUCUGGCAGGGUGUC
Molecule: unclassified non-coding RNA, 319 nt
Filed under: Zanthoxylum caribaeum
Lineage: Eukaryota; Viridiplantae; Streptophyta; Magnoliopsida; Sapindales; Rutaceae
Description: partial external transcribed spacer
Source: RNAcentral